CAGUGGCGAACGGGUGAGUAACACGUGGGCAAUCUGCCCUGCACUCUGGGACAACACCGGGAAACCGGUGCUAAUACCGGAUACGACGCACCNCGGCAUCGGGUGUGCGUGGAAAGCUCCGGCGGUGCAGGAUGAGCCCGCGGCCUAUCAGCUUGUUGGUGGGGUGAUGGCCUACCAAGGCGACGACGGGUAGCCGGCCUGAGAGGGCGACCGGCCACACUGGGACUGAGACACGGCCCAGACUCCUACGGGAGGCAGCAGUGGGGAAUAUUGCACAAUGGGCGAAAGCCUGAUGCAGCGACGCCGCGUGAGGGAUGAAGGCCUUCGGGUUGUAAACCUCUUUCAGCAGGGAAGAAGCGCAAGUGACGGUACCUGCAGAAGAAGCACCGGCUAACUACGUGCCAGCAGCCGCGGUAAUACGUAGGGUGCGAGCGUUGUCCGGAAUUAUUGGGCGUAAAGAGCUCGUAGGCGGCCUGUCGCGUCGGAUGUGAAAGCCCGGGGCUUAACCCCGGGUCUGCAUUCGAUACGGGCAGGCUAGAGUUCGGUAGGGGAGAUCGGAAUUCCU
Molecule: ribosomal RNA, 565 nt
Filed under: Streptomyces sp. 419A03
Lineage: Bacteria; Bacillati; Actinomycetota; Actinomycetes; Kitasatosporales; Streptomycetaceae
Description: bacterial SSU rRNA
Rfam family: Bacterial small subunit ribosomal RNA
Source: RNAcentral